CGUGUGACGCUGAAAAGAACGUUUCCGUUGCAGUUCGGCAAAAUACAUCUGUUUCGAUACGCCCAAAAAAAAGCACUUAAACUUAGCGCCAAAACAUUUCAGCAAAAAUAGAGCAGAAUUUACAACAUGGAGAUUUCUACUGACCCCUGUACCGCUCUGCGUUUUCCUCCGUCUGGUUCCUGGACAGCACAGUUAUGCAACAGGCGUAGAGCGACGAACCAGCUCCAAGUGUAAACACGGGCGGUUGUGAGCUGCGCUGUACUUUUAAGGAACUACUAAGGAGCGGCAUGCAGUGACAACAGCAUGCCGUGUUGACGCUGACAUCAAAUAAAACUGAACACGUGUUUGCU
Poecilia reticulata (guppy) is the source of this 350-nucleotide long non-coding RNA. RefSeq lists it as uncharacterized. NCBI's taxonomy places the organism in Eukaryota, Metazoa, Chordata, Actinopteri, Cyprinodontiformes, Poeciliidae. The record is from RefSeq and is a predicted model, not a curated record.